This 256-nucleotide ribosomal RNA is filed under the name Henriettea uniflora. RNAcentral's name for it is "partial 26S ribosomal RNA". The stretch from base 35 to 256 matches the Rfam family "Eukaryotic large subunit ribosomal RNA", at positions 1 to 222 of the family's 3401-position model. The record is from RNAcentral. Lineage: Eukaryota; Viridiplantae; Streptophyta; Magnoliopsida; Myrtales; Melastomataceae.
GCUGCGGGCUCCGGACUUUGACAAUCCCCGAGUGCGAUCCCAGGUCAGGCGGGACUACCCGCUGAGUUUAAGCAUAUCAAUAAGCGGAGGAAAAGAAACUAACGAGGAUUCCCUUAGUAGCGGCGAGCGAAUCGGGAAGAGCCCAGCAUGAAAAUCGUCCGUCAUCGGCGGCCGAAUUGUAGUCUGGAGAAGCGUCCUCAGUGACGGACCGGACCCAAGUUCACUGGAAGGUGGCGCCGGAGAGGGUGAGAGCCCC